UCAGAUUGAACGCUGGCGGCGUGCUAACACAUGCAAGUCGCGCGUGAAAGGACUUCGGUCCGAGUAAAGCGGCGCACGGGUGAGUAACGCGUGGAUGAUCUACCCAUGAGUUAGGAAUAACGGCUGGAAACGGUCGCUAAUACCAAAUACGCUCCGAUUUCAACUUCGGGGGAAAGGUGGCCUCUGCUUGCAAGCUACUGCUCAUGGAUGAGUCCGCGUCCCAUUAGCUAGUUGGUGGGGUAACGGCCCACCAAGGCGACGAUGGGUAGCCGGUCUGAGAGGAUGACCGGCCACACUGGGACUGGAACACGGCCCAGACUCCUACGGGAGGCAGCAGUGGGGAAUAUUGCGCAAUGGGCGAAAGCCUGACGCAGCGACGCCGCGUGAGGGAUGAAGGUCCUCGGAUCGUAAACCUCUGUCAGGAGGGAAGAACCGCCACGGUGCUAAUCAGCCGUGGUCUGACGGUACCUCCAAAGGAAGCACCGGCUAACUCCGUGCCAGCAGCGGC
Molecule: ribosomal RNA, 508 nt
Filed under: uncultured bacterium
Lineage: Bacteria
Description: bacterial SSU rRNA
Rfam family: Bacterial small subunit ribosomal RNA
Source: RNAcentral